UACGUAGGGGUCGAGCGUUGUCCGGAGUUACUGGGCGUAAAGCGCAUGCAGGCGGCUCAUUACGCAUGGCGUGAAAGCCCCCGGCUCAACCGGGGAGGGUCGUCGUGAACGGGUGAGCUUGAGGGUAUCAGGGGCUGGUAGAAUUCCCGGUGUAGUGGUGAAAUGCGUAGAGAUCGGGAGGAAUACCUGUGGCGAAGGCGGCCAGCUUGGAUACACCUGACGCUGAGAUGCGAAGGCGUGGGGAGCGAACGGGAUUAGAUACCCGUGUAGU
RNAcentral lists this ribosomal RNA (271 nucleotides) under uncultured prokaryote. RNAcentral's name for it is "partial 16S ribosomal RNA". It matches the Rfam family "Bacterial small subunit ribosomal RNA", at positions 524 to 794 of the family's 1533-position model. The record is from RNAcentral.